UACGGAGGGUGCAAGCGUUGUCCGGAUUUAUUGGGUUUAAAGGGUGCGUAGGCGGUCUUUUAAGUCAGUGGUGAAAUCCUCCAGCUCAACUGGAGAACUGCCAUUGAUACUGGAAGACUUGAGUAUAGUUGAGGUAGGCGGAAUUGACAGUGUAGCGGUGAAAUGCAUAGAUAUUGUCAAGAACACCGAUUGCGAAGGCAGCUUACUAAACUAUAACUGACGCUGAGGUACGAAAGUGCGGGGAUCAAACAGG
Molecule: ribosomal RNA, 253 nt
Filed under: uncultured bacterium
Lineage: Bacteria
Description: partial 16S ribosomal RNA
Rfam family: Bacterial small subunit ribosomal RNA
Source: RNAcentral